AGAGAGAAUAUGUAAUUUGGUAAAAAAACCCAUCUUCUUGCCUAUAAAUAGACCCAAAUAAUGUGAGGUUCCAUACUCCAAAAUCCACAUCUAGCAGCAAAUUAUGGAAUCCCAUGAUGAAGAGCAUGCUGCCAAACUACUUAGAGCUCAAACCCACAUAUGGAAUCACAUAUUUAGCUUCAUAAACUCCAUGUCCCUUAAAUGUGUGGUUGACUUAGGCAUACCAGAUAUCAUACACAACUAUGGCCAACCCAUGCCACUCUCAAACCUCAUUGCUUCACUACCAAUCCACCCAUCCAAAACUUGCUUCGUCCAUCGCUUGAUGCGAAUCAUGAUCCAUUCUGGCUUCUUCUCUUUACAAAAUCAUGACUUGGAGAAUGAGCUAGAAGCCAAGUAUGUGCUAACCGAUGCAUCUGUACUACUGCUUAAGAACCAUCCGAUGAGUGUGACACCUUUCUUGCAUGCCAUNNNNNNNNNNNNNNNNNNNNNNNNNNNNNNNNNNNNNNNNNNNNNNNNNNNNNNNNNNNNNNNNNNNNNNNNNNNNNNNNNNNNNNNNNNNNNNNNNNNNNNNNNNNNNNNNNNNNNNNNNNNNNNNNNUCACUUGUUCAAUGAUGCCAUGGCAAGUGAUGCUCGAUUUGUCACUAGUUUGGUGAUUGAGAAAUGUAAGGGAGUGUUCAUGGGAUGGAGUCAUUGGUUGAUGUUGGGGGAGGCACAGGGACCAUGGCAAAAGCCAUUGCUAAAUCAUUCCCUCGGGUGGAAUGCAUUGUGUUUGAUCUACCACAUGUUGUUUCUGGCUUGAAAGGAAGUGAGAACCUUAAAUAUGUUGCAGGGGACAUGUUUGAGGCAAUUCCUCCAGCUGAUGCCAUUUUGUUAAAGGUAAAUCACUAUUCACAUUCAGAAUACAAUUUUACAUUCAUACCAUUAACACCCAGUUUUUAUACUUGAGUGAUGUCAAAUUUUAAAGAAUUAAAGCAAAUAAUUGAUCGAUUGGAAAAAAAAAUGAACGAUUUUAUGAUCAUUGAUCACUUGAAAUAACUUCAAAUAUAUAUAUGUAUAUUGUUCACUAAGCUAGUAAGCUAGCACCAGCUAGUAGUCCAACUACAUAUCUGCCACUAUCAUACCAAAUCAGACCAACUAAGUGGUCUAUAUGGCUUGUAAUAAUUAGUACUAGUUUACUAAGUGGGUACGUAAAGUAACUAGCAUAUGAUUAUUUGAAAAGUAAAUCUCUGCUCAUAUUCUAGAAAAAAUAGUUAUAGAUCUCUUCAAAUUUGACUUUUCUUUUUUCUGAAGUAUUGACUAUAUGUUGCGGUUAAAAACAUUACAUGAUGUGCCAAUUCAUUCUACCAAGCUUAAUAUGAAUGCAAGUCAAUAUUUUAUGAUUCUGAUCGGUGUGUUACUUUGAAUGACAAAGCAGUGGAUAUUGCAUGACUGGAAUGAUGAGGAGUGUGUGGACAUAUUGAAGAAAUGCAAAGAGGCCAUAACGAGGAAAGGCAAAGAAGGGAAGGUGAUCAUCAUAGACAUGGUGGUGGAGAAUGAGAAGAGAGAUGAUGAAUCAGUUGAAACACAGCUCUUCUUUGAUAUGCUGAUGAUGGUGUUGGUCACUGGAAAAGAGAGAAGCAAGAAAGAAUGGGCUAAGUUGAUUUCCUCUGCUGGUUAUAACAACUACAAGAUAACUCCAGUCUUGGGCUUAAGGUCUCUCAUUGAGAUCUAUCCAUAGUAAGUUAAUGAGAUGUGCCAGCACUCUAUCAUUCAUAUAUGUUAGGGCUAUAAUUUUUCUGUUUCGAUUCAUGAGUGAAUGUUGGAUAAGUAACAAUAGCAAUAGACUGAACUCUCUUCAUCAUAGUUGUGUUGUUGGAACAGUACUGUCAAGAAAGGAAAAAAAAAAAAUCUGAGGAUAAGUAUAGUUUGCGUGGUAUAUAUAGCAGGUGAAGAAAAAAAGGAACAUGUGGUUAAAGAGCACAGUGAGUUUGGCAAUUACUUUUUUUUUUGGUAACUGAAUUUGCCUUGUAUUAGAUUUGUGAAGAACUAAGUUUGUGAGAGUUGUUAUUGAAUAAGAUUGUUUCUAAAGGUUUGAUAAAGGUAUAAUGGUUUAUCUAAAUACAUUUCAAUAUUUUAGUAUUUUAAUUAAGUUCAUAAUGAUGUGAUUAUGUGUCAUGUCAAUAAAGAUAUAUCAUUAAUCUCAUCUUAAUAAUAGUGUCAUGCAAACAAUGAAAUUAAUGAGACUAAAAUAAAAUAAAAAGAAUUUUAUGGAGACAUAAAAUAGAUAAAAUAAAUAUUACAGAAACUAAAAAUGAAAAGAAAUUAUAAGAAUAAAAAAAAAAGAAUUUGCUUAUAUCUUCAAAGGUCACUUUAAGUUGUUUAUAUUUUUUAUUUUAAAUAUUGGGUUGCACCAAAGAAAUGAUCAUUAUAUUCAUGUUAAGAAUAAAUAAAGCAAAACAUAAUGACCAAAAAAUAUAGCAAAUUAAAUCCUAUAAUUUUUCUUUUGGAUGAAGUAUGAAUAUAAAAAGUAAGAGACAACAAAGUUUAAGACAUCACGAAAGAAUUUUUCAUAAAUUUCUCUAUAAUGACUUUAGGAUAAAAAUCUCAUCUUUGACUUCAAAACACUUGAACACAUAUCCUAAUUAGCUAAAGUAUCAAUCACAUGAUUAGAAUCAUGUGACAUAAUUGCAACUAACAAAGUUCAAAUGUUUCUUACUAAUGCUAUUAAAUAAAAUAAGAUUAAUUGAAAUUUAUUUGUAUUUGAAGUCAAGACUGUUAACUCGUUGACAAGUGUACCAAAUUUGUCACAAGUAAUAAAGUACUCGGAAGUCCGAGUGUCGAAUCCACUGGGAUUUUGUGUUGUACUUAUCUUGGAUACUUUUCAAUUUAUAAGGAAUUAAAAGAAAAAGUAGAAGGCAAUAAUAGUAAAUUAUAAAUAGAAAGCAAAAGAAUUAAAAGCAAAAUAAUUAAAGAGAGAAUUCAAUGGAAUGCGAAUGUUAGGACCUAGCAUGCCUUGUUUGCCUAGGAUGUAUGAAUUUAUGAUUUUUCUUCACCAAUUUAGGUGAUUCUAUUCUACCCACAUCUGUUCAUUUACUUGCCCCUGAUUCCUCACGAUGACAAGUCUAUUUUAUUCAUUUAUCUCCCAAAUUCCUUUGUAAAAACUCAACAAAUAAAAUGCAUGAAGUAUGAAUUCUAGAUGUUUGCAAGAAUGCAUGGGCAUAAAAUUAUCAUUCUAUUCCUAGCAAUGACUUUCUUAUGAAAUCCUUUCUUUUUGUUCUAUUAGAAGUUACCUUCUUCCGAGUGUCUAACCCCUAAAACUAAUGCAUGCAUACCUUCUUUAAAUCUUGUUUAGAAGUUACCAUCUCCCGAGUGUCUAACCCCUAAAAGAAUAUAAAGAUGAAUAAUGCAAGAUAAAAACAGAAAAGAUAAUAGAAUAGAAAAACCUGGAAAAUAAUCCUGUUGCAUUGAUAAAUAUGAAGUACAUCAUACAUUUCUUUGACUUUUUAGGCCUACCAGGCCCUAACUAGGAGUUUAGUCACUCAUGGCCAUUGAGGGCUUUACAAUGAGAAGGGGGUGAAAAAAAGAUGAUAAAAAAAAGGAAGAGAGUAAAAAUUCUCAGGCUUUGAGUAGUAGUGAGAGUGCUCUCUGAGACUUGGUGUUUUCCUCCUUGGCCUGACUCUCUAUCUAUAGCUGAUGAAGUGGACUUGGGCUUGAUUCAAACAAUCUUCCUUAUCUAUCUUUUUUAUAUCUUUUGGAUCUUGUAAAUCUUAUCUUUCCUAUAUCUGCAAGUCAUAGAUAAGAAAAUAUCAAUUCAUAUCUUUUAAGUCAAAAUUAACUGCUAAAUAAAUAUCUUUAAAGAUAUUUUCAAAUUAGCUCAUAUUUAACAGUUAUCAAUAUCUUUUAGAUCUUGUAAUCUUAUCUUUUUAUAUCUGCAAGCCAUAAAUAAUAAAAGUAUCAAUUCUUAUCAUUUAAGCAAAAAAAUAACUGUUAAAUAAAUAUUUUCAAAGAUAUUUUCAAUAUAUUUUUAUUAUGAAAUAACUCAUAUUUAACAGUUAUCAAAGACACAGAUAUAUUUUUUUGCUUGCAUUCGAAAUCAAAGAAAGCAAGUACAUCUAAGCGCUUAAUGAAGAUGGUUGGAGGUAGACAGAGGUGAAUUCACAUAUAAGCUUGUUUCCCCAGUAUGAAUUUUUAUACUUGAAUAUAAUACUCCUAUUCAUGUGGGCAUAGAUGCAAAAGUUUGAGAUGAGGAAGGUCACAAGCUUGGAUAGGUUUGGAAGAUAAAUGGUUUGUGAGAAUAUAUAAAUGCUAAAUUAAAACAUAUUAUUGGAAGACAGUUGAAGGAUUGACGUCGGAGUAGUUAGUGCAGUGGAAAUAAAUGCCAUUAUUGGAGGACGGUUGAAAGAUUAGCGUAGGUGGGGCUAGUUAUUUCGGUGGGAAUAAAUGCUAAAUUAAAACAUAUUAUUGGUGGAAAUUUGGGAUGGAAAUGAGUCACGCCGCUUGUCAAGGGCCUUUUGCUCGACCUAUUUAAGACUUGGUUUGACUUGACUUGUUUAUUAUAAAGGUCAAACUUAAGCUUUUUAAAAAGCUAUUUUAGAUAAAAAUGACAAAGGCAAAUUAUAAAAAAUAAACUUGUUAAGCUUGACAAACCGGCUUGUUAAGCUUGACAAACUGGCUUAUUUAAGUAAUAAUAAUAAUAAUAACUAUUAUCUAUACCAUUUUUAUGGAAUUAUGAAUGACAGGCUGAAGCGACAUAAGGUGCUUAGAGAAUUCACUUGCAUGUGAAAAAUUUUCAAAAGAAAAGAUUCAAGUUAAAGGAUCAAGAAAUCAGAUGAAUACUUCAAAUGAAAAGAAUGUUUUGUAAAAUAUUGUCAGACAAUGUAAAUAGUUUUAUUUGACUAUAGUAAUAUAAAUCAUCGUUAAUCCAAUAUAUUGUUUAAUAUUAUGCUCUCUUUUUUUUCAUUUUCUUGUGAUAUACUUUGUGUUUUAACAACUUGAAUUUAAUAUGAUUUUGUUUAUCAAUUAUUUUUGGAUUUGUACAUUACUUAUAUGAAAUUUUAUAAGUUUUUUUUAGUUAAUAUUUCACUAGGUUUUAGAACAAUUAAUUGGUCAAAGACGUCUUUAAGCAGAUUUUUAAAUAGGCUCGUAGGUAAAAUCAGACUUCAAUGUGAGUCGAGCCGAGCCUUAAAAAAAAUUCUAUGAUAGGUAAUGAGACAAGCUCAAGUCUUGCUUAUUCAACUCAAGCCGAGCUCAAGCCUAAUAAAGCUUGAUUUGCCUUGACUCAUUUUCACUCCUAGUGAGAAUAGGGGUCAACUUCUAAUUUUACUAUAGGCACUUUAAUUAAUAGGGGUGGGUAAGCGGGUUGGCCCGCCCCGCGUAAGGCUAGUCCGCAUAAGCCCGCAUUGGCAGUGGAUCGGGUCAGCCCGCCCCGCAUUCUUACACUGACCAAAUAUAUUGGUCCGCCCCCGCCCCGCGAACCCCGCGAGUCAAACGGGCCAGUCCGUGGGCCUUGUUUUAAAAGAAUUUCAAUUUCAAUAAAAAUGCAACACAAUCAAAUUAAGUUCAAUACAAAUGUAAAUAAAAUCUUAACAAUUAGUCAAUUACAUCAAUAAAAUAAAUAAUGUCUUACAAAAGAAAAUCCAAGCAAUAAAUUUAAAAUAUGAAACUUAAACAUCUCUAACAACAAAUGAUUCUACAUUUAAAGUAAUAUAAUCCUAAUGCGGGCAAUUCGCAGACCCCGUGGGCCAAACUCGCAUAUUCUGCGGGUUAAGUGGGGCGGAUCCAAAAAUAUGACAUCAUCAUGGACCGUUUAAAAAAAUUGAUCCAUUAUCCGCGCGAACCACGGAACCCGGGGGCCAGUCGAUGGACCUGGGCCUGUUUACCCACCCUUAUUAAUUAGCAAGCUAUUAUAUUAUAUUGGUGGAUUAGGACAUCUAUAGUCCAAGGAAUAUAAAAUUUACCUGACUCUUUGUAACUAUGCAUGUGAUCUAUCUAAUGAAUUCCACCUCCUUUUUAUACAUCAUACACAUGCAAUGUUAAUCACUAUGAUAUAAAACAUUUAAAUUAUAUAUUAUUAUUACUAUGAUUUUUUUAAGAUAGAUAUAUUCAAAAUUAAAAAAAUUAUUAUAUUGGAUGGAUAAUGAUUUAAUAAUAUAGUAAAAUUAUUUUAUACUUGUUGGUGUAUAAUCAUUUUUUCUACAAAUAAAUAAAAAUAAUUAUAAUAUAAAACAUUAAUAUACCAUAAAAAUUAAAUAUUAAAAAAGAAAUGUAAAUAAUCAAUUAAAAUAUAUAAAAUUUAUAACAAUUUAUUCAUAUUUGAGAAAUUUUAAAAAUAUGUAUAUAAAUUAUUUUUCAAAUAAAUAUAUUAUUAAUAUACAUAAUUCAAACUAUGAAAAAUAUAUUAUUGAAAUAUUUAAAACACCAAAUACAUUUUAAAAAUUUGAUUUAAAUAAUAUUAAAAUUAAAACAUAACAAUCUCAAAAAAUAUUUUUAUAAAUCAGUCUUUUGUUGGAGAUAAGAAAAUACACUUUAGUUUUUAAUUCUAAAUAUUUAAUAUUGUAUUUGUUUUUUUCCAUACUGUAAUAUAUAAAAAAAUGUAUAAUCUAUUUAAGUUUUAGUAUUUUAUAGUGAAUUUCAAUUUGUUAGUUCUUUACAUAUUAAUUUUCUUUUUCAAAUUUUGUAGUAUCAUAUAUUACCUUUUUAAUAUUUGAAAGACUUGUAAUAUCAAAUAAAAUAAUAUUGCAAUUAAUGUAUAUAUUAACAUAUAAAAAUGAAUAGCAUAGAUAAAAAAAAAAUCAAGUAUGAUCGACAAUGAAAGUUUAAUCAUUGAAAAAGUUGCAUGAUGUCUUCUCGGGUACACCACUCUACUUCUAUAAGUGGUGCAUUGAUUUACUAGAUAAGUUUUUUUUAAGGAAUCCAUUAAAUGUAUUUUUCUCCAAUCCUGAUAUUAUUACAAAGUUGUUUUCACGUGGUGAUUAAUUUUCAAGAUGAUGAGCACAUACAAGAUAAUUUUCAGGAUCAAGAGCACAUACAAAAUAGCUUAUAAGAUUUUAAGUUACACUACAUACAAUUUGGUCAAAUUUUCUUAUAUUGUAAAAAGUUAUAGAUAAAAGUGAUGAUAAUUGUUGUCACCACUACUGAAGAAAGAAGAUUCUAAAUUGGUUAUUUGGAGCAUUCUACAUUGGUUGAGGAUCGUCGUAGUAGACCACAUCGUCAAAAGGGAAACCUAAUCUAGGACGGUCGCAAAGACUAUCUUAAAAAAUGUGUGUUUCUAAUUGCAGUCCCAAACUUUCCAAAAUUUAAUAUAGUGGUCAAAAUCAUGAUCAUUAACUAUUUUUUAAAACGUAGCUACAGAGAAUAAAGUUGUUGCUUAAACAUCUUCACGCCUAUAAAUAGACCCAAAUAAUGUGAGGUUCCAUACUUCAAAAUCCAAAUCUAGCGAUUAAUUAUAGUUUAGGCAGCAAAUUAUGGAUUCCCAUGAUGAGGAGCAUGCUGCCAAACUACUUAGAGCUCAAACCCACAUAUGGAAUCACAUAUUUAGCUUCAUAAACUCCAUGUCCCUUAAAUGUGUGGUUGACUUAGGCAUACCAGAUAUCAUACACAACUAUGGCCAACCCAUGCCACUCUCAAACCUCAUUGCUUCACUACCAAUCCACCCAUCCAAAACUUGCUUUGUCCAUCGCUUGAUGCGAAUCAUGAUCCAUUCUGGCUUCUUCUCUCAACAAAAUCAUGACAUGGAGAAUCAGCUAGAUGCCAAGUAUGUGCUUACCGAUGCAUCUGUACUAUUGCUUAAGAACCAUCCGAUGAGUGUGACACCUUUCUUGCAUGCCAUGCUUGAUCCAAUUUUGACAAAUCCAUGGAAUCAAUUUUCUACUUGGUUCAAAAAUGGUGACACUACACCAUUUGAAACGGCACAUGGGAUGAUGCUUUGGGAUUACGCUGGCGCUGAUCCAAAACAUAAUAACUUGUUCAAUGAUGCCAUGGCAAGUGAUGCUCGAUUUGUCACUAGUUUGGUGAUUGAGAAAUGUAAGGGAAUGUUCAUGGGAUUGGAGUCAUUGGUUGAUGUUGGGGGAGGCACAGGGACCAUGGCAAAAGCCAUUGCUAAAUCAUUCCCUCGGGUGGAAUGCAUUGUGUUUGAUCUACCACAUGUUGUUUCUGGCUUGAAAGGAAGUGAAAACCUUAAAUAUGUUGCAGGGGACAUGUUUGAGGCAAUUCCUCCAGCUGAUGCCAUUCUGUUAAAGGUAAAUCACUAUUCACAUUCAGAAUACAAUUUUACAUUCAUACCAUUAACACCCAGUUUUUAUACUUGAGUGAUGUCAAAUUUUAAAGAAUUAAAGCAAAUAAUUGAUCGAUUGGAAAAAAAAAAUGAACGAUUUUAUCAUCAUUGAUCACUUGAAAUAACUUCAAAUUUUUAUAUGUAUAUUGAUCACUAAGCUAGUAAGCUAGCACCAGCUAGUAGUCCAACUACAUAUCUGCCACUAUCAUACCAAAUCAGACCAACUGAGUGGUCUAUAUGGCUUGUAAUAAUUAGGACUAGUUUAUUAAGUGGUUACGUAAAGUAGCUAGCAUAUGAUUAUUUGACAAGUAAAUCUCUGCUCAUAUUCUAGAAAAAAUAGUUAUAGAUCUCUUCAAAUUUGACUUUUCUUUUUUCUGAAGUAUUGACUAUAUGUUGCGGUUAAAAACGUUACAUGAUGUGCCAAUUCAUUCUACCAAGCUUAAUAUGAAUGCAAGUCAAUAUUUAUUUCUUUUGUAUGAUUCUUAUCGGUGUGUUACUUUGAAUGACAAAGCAGUGGAUAUUGCAUGACUGGAAUGAUAAGGAGUGUGUGGACAUAUUGAAGAAAUGCAAAGAGGCGAUAACGAGGAAAGGCAAAGAAGGGAAGGUGAUCAUCAUAGACAUGGUGGUGGAGAAUGAGAAGAGAGAUGAUGAAUCAGUUGAAACACAGCUCUUCUUUGAUAUGCUGAUGAUGGUGUUGGUCACUGGAAAAGAGAGAAGCAAGAAAGAAUGGGCUAAGUUGAUUUCCUCUGCUGGUUAUAACAACUACAAGAUAACUCCAGUCUUGGGCUUAAGGUCUCUCAUUGAGAUCUAUCCAUAGUAAGUUAAUGAGAUGUGCCAGCACUCUAUCAUUCAUAUAUGUAAGGGCUAUAAUUUUUCUGUUUCGAUUCAUGAGUGAAUGUUGGAUAAGUAACAAUAGCAAUAGACUGAACUCUCUUCAUCAUAGUUGUGUUGUUGGAACAGUACUGUCAAGAAAGGAAAAAAAAAAAAUCUGAGGAUAAGUAUAGUUUGCGUGGUAUAUAUAGCAGGUGAAGAAGAAAAGGAACACGUGGUUAAAGAGCACAGUGAGAGUUUAGCAAUUACUCUUUUUUUGGUAACUGAAUUUGCCUUGUAUUAGAUUUGUGAAGAACUAAGUUUGUGAGAGUUGUAUUAAAUAAAAUAAGAUUAAUUGAAAUUUAUUUGUAAUUGAAGUCAAGACACAUAUAUAUUUUUUUGCUUGCAUUCGAAAUCAAAGAAAGCAAGUUCAUCUAAAAACUUAAUGAAAAUGGUUGGAGGUAGACAGCGGUGAAUGCACAUAUAAGCUUGUUCUCACAGUAUAAAUUUUUAUACUUGAAUAUAAUACUCCUAUUCAUGUGGGCAUAGAUGCAAAAGUUUGAGAUGAGGAAGGUCACAAGCUUGGAUAGGUUUGGAAGAUAAAUGAUUUGUGAUAAUAUAUAAAUGCUAAAUUAAAACGUAUUAUUGGAAGACAGUUGAAGGAUUGGCGUUAGUGUAGUUAGUGCGGUGGGAAUAAAUGCUAUUAUUGGAGGACGGUCAUACGUGGAGCUAGUUAUUGCGGUGGGAAUAAAUGCUAAAUUAAAACAUAUUAUUGGAAGGCAGAUUGACUCGUAGAAGUUAUUGUUGUGGGAAUAAAUGCUAUUAUUGGAGGACGGUUGAAGAAUUGGUGUACGUGGGGUUAGUUAUUGCGGUGGGAAUAAAUGCUAAAUUAAAAUAUAUUAUUGAUAGACACUUGAAGGAUUGGCGUCAGAGUAGUUAGUGCGGUGGGAAUAAAUGUUAUUAUUCUCAUCUUAAUAAUAAUGUCAUGCCAACAAUGAAAUUAAUGAGACUAAAAUAAAAUAAAAAGAAUUUUAUGGAGACAUAAAAUACAUAAAAUAAAUAUUAUAGAAACUAAAAAUGAAAAGAAAUUAUAAGAAUUAAAAAAAAGAAUUUGCUUAUGUCUUCAAAGGUCACUUAAAGUUGUUUAUAUUUUUUAUUUUAAAUAUUGGGUUGCACAAAAGAAAUGAUCAUUGUAUUCAUGUUAAGAAUAAAUAAAGCAAAAUAUAAUGACCAAAAAUUAUACCAAAUUAAAUUCUAUUUUUUUUUCUUUUGGAUGAAGUAUGAAUAUAAAAUUAAGAGACAACAAAGUUUAAGACAUCACGAAAGAGUUUUUCAUAAAUUUCUCUAUAAUGACUUCAAGAUAAAAAUCUCAUCUUUGGCUUCAAAACACUUGAACACAUAUCCUAAUUAGCUAAAGUAUCAAUCAUAUGAUUAGAAUCAUGUGACAUAAUUGCAAGUAACAAAGUUCAAAUAUUUCUCACUAACGCUAUCAAAUAAAAUAAGAUUAAUUGAAAUUAAUUUGUAUUUGAAGUCAAGACACAUAUAUUUUUUUGCUUGCAUUCGAAAUUAAAGAAAGCAAGUUCAUCUAAACGCUUAAUGAAAAUGGUUGGAGGUAGACAGAGGUGAAUGCACAUAUAAGCUUGUUCUCACAGGAUAAAUUUUUAUACUUGAAUAUAAUACUCCUAUUCAUGUGGGCAUAGAUGCAAAAGUUUGAGAUGAGGAAGGUCACAAGCUUGGAUAGGUUUGGAAGAUAAAUGGUUUGUGAGAAUAUAUAAAUGUUAAAUUAAAACAUAUUAUUGAAAGACAGUUGAAGGAUUGGCAUCAGAGUAGUUAGUGCGGAGGGAAUAAAUGCUAUUAUUGGAGGACGGUUGAAGGAUUAGCGUAUGUGGGGCUAGUUAUUUCGGUGGGAAUAAAUGUUAAAUUAAAACAUAUUAUUGGUGGAAAUUUGGGAUGGAAAUGAGCCACGCCGCUUGUCAAGGGUCUUUGGCUCGACAUAUUUAAGACUUGGCUUGGCUUGGCUUGUUUACUAUAAAGGCCAAGCUCAAGCUUUGUAAAAAACUUUUUUAGAUGAAAAGGCCAAAGGCAAAUUAUAAAAAAAACUUCUUAAGCUUGACAAACCGUCUUGUUAAGCUUGACAAACUGGCUUGUUUAAGUAAUAAUAAUAAUAUUAAUAAUAAUAAAAACUAUUAUCUAUAUCAUUUUUAUAGAAUUAUGAAUGACAGGAUGAAGUGACAUAAAGUGCUUACAGAAUUCACUUGCAUGUGAAAAAAUUUUAAAAAGAAAAAGACUCAACUUAAAAGGAUAAAGCAAUCAGAUGAAUACUUCCAAAGAAAAGAAUGUUUUCUAAAAACAUUUUCAGACAAUUUAUAUAUUUUUAUUUGAUUAAAUUAAUAUAAAUCAUCUCUAAUCCAUAUAUUUUUUUAAUAUUAUGCUCUCUUUUUUUUCAUUUUCUUUUGAUAUACUUUGUGUUUUAACAACUUGAAUUCAAUAUGAUUUUGUUUAUCAAUUAUUUUUGGAUUUGUACAUUACUUAUACGAAAUUUUAUAAGUUUCUUUUUUUAGUUAAUAUUUCACUAGGUUUUAGAACAAUUAAUUGUUCAAAGACGUCUUUAAGCAGAUUUUUAAAUAGGCACGUAGGCGAAAUCAGGCUUUUAUGUGAGCCGAGCCGAGCCUUUAAAAAAAUCCUAUGACAGGUAAUGAGCCAAGCUCAAACCUUGCGUAUUCAACUCAAUUCGAGCUCAAGCCUAGUAAAGCUUAAUUUGGCUUAACUCAUUUUCACCCCUAAUGGGAAUAGGGGUCAACUUCUAAUUUUACUACAGGCACUUUAAUUAAUAGGGGUGGGUAAGUGGGCUGGCUCGCCCCGCAUAAGCCCGCAUUGGCAGUGGACCGGGCCAGCUCACCCCGCAUUCUUACACGGACCAAAUAAAUUGGUCCGCCCCCGCCCCGCGGAUCCUGCGGGUCAAACGGGCCAGUCCGUGGCCCUAGUUUUAAUAGAAUUUCAAUUUUAAUAAAAAAUACAACACAAUCAAAUUAAGUUCAAUAUAAAUGUAAAUAAAAUCUUAACAAUUAGUCAAUUACAUAAAUAAAAUAAAUAAUGCCUUAGCAAAAGAAAAUCCAAACAAUAAAUUUAAAAUAUGAAACUUAAACAUCUCUAACAACAAAUGAUUCCAUAUUUGAAGCAAUAAAAUCUUAAUGCGGGCAACCAGAAGAUCCCGCGGGCCAAACUCACAUAGUCUGCGGGUUAAGUGGGGCAGACCCAAAAAUAUGACAUAAUCAUGGACCAUUUUAAAAAAUUGAUCCGUUACCCAAGCGAAUCGCAAGCCCCGCGGACCAGUCAAUGAACCUAGGCCCGUUUACCCACUCCUAUUAAUUAGCAUGCUAUUAUAUUAUAUUGGUGGAUUAGGACAUCUAUAGUCCCAGGAAUAUAAAAUUUACCUGACUCUUUGUAACUAUUAGGGGUGGGUAAACGGGCUCAGGUCCAUGUAUUGACCCACGGGGCCCGCGGUCUAUGAUUAUGUCAUAUUUUUUGGCCCACCUCGCUUAACCCGUGGACUAUGCGGGUUUGGCCUGCGGGGUCCGCGGGUUGUCCGUAGCCCGCAUUAGGUUUAAUUUGUGUGAUCCUGACCCAAUUAUAUUAGGUUUGAUUUUCUCUUUUUCAAUUUAAACUUUUCUUUUAAAAUAACAGAUAAAGAAAUAUAUUAGAUAUGAUAAAGAUAUAAAGAUAAAAAUAAAAGAUUUAAAUUGAAAGAUGAUAAAGAUAAAAAAAGGAUAAGAUAACAAAAAUAAAAGAUUAAGAUAAAAAAGAUAAGUGAUAACUUGCUAAAAAUCUUUUUUUUAUAUUUUAUCAAUCUUUUUCUCUUUUAAUCUAUCAUUUUCAUAUCUGAAAGUCAUAAAUAAUAAAAAUAUCAAUUCUUAUCAUUUAAGCCAAAAAUAAUUGUUAAAUAAAUAUUUUUAAAGAUAUUUCAAUAUAUGUUUAUUGUAAAAAAUAACUCAUAUCAUAUUUAGUAGUUGUAGCAGGCUAAAAACAUUUUUUCUCCUCACGUGUGCUUAACAAAUAUCGAACUAGGCUUCUUGUUGACAACAUACAAGCCUUGAUAUAUACUAAAAAUUGGUUACUAGUAUUUGAUAUGCAGGGUAAAUAAUAUGUAAUAAUUAUUGUCUUUUAAUCACUUAGCUUGACUUUAUUCUAAUAUUUUAUUAUUUUGAGUUUUAGGAAAAGAAGAUGAAGAUAUGGAGAUGGAGAAGGCUCAAGCUACUUCAAAUAUGAAAUCAUUUGUUGUUGGAGAUGUUUAAAUUUCAUAUUUUAGAUUUAUUGCUUCGAUUUCUUUGUUAAGACAUUAUUUAUUUUAUUGAUAUAAUUGACUAAUUAUUGAGAUUUUAUUUAUCUUUGUAUUGAACUUAAUUUGAUUGUAUUAUAUUUUUAUUAAAAUUAAAAUUCUUUUAAAAUUAGGCUCGCGGACUGGCUCGUUUGACCCGCGGGAUCCGUGGGGCGGGGGCGGACCAAUUUAUUUCGUCUGUGUAAGAAGCGGGGCGGAUUGGCCCGAUCCGCUACCAAUGCGGGCUCAUGCGGACGGGCCUUACACGGGGCAUGCCGGUCCGCUUACCCACCCCUAGUAACUAUGCACGUGAUCUAUCUAAUGAAUUCCACCUCCUUUUUAUACAUCAUACACAUGCAAUGUUAAUCACUAUAAUAUAAAACAAUUUAAUUAUAUAUUAUUAUUACUAUGAUUUUUUUAAGAUAGUUAUAUUCAAUAUUUAUAUAAUUAUUAUAUAGGAUGGAUAAUGAUUUAAUAAUAUUAUAAAAUUAUUUUACAUUUGUUUGUGUAUAAUCUUGUUUUCUACAAAUAAAUAAAAAUAAUAAUAAAAUAAAACAUUAAUAUACCAUAAAAAAUAAAUAUUAAAAAAGAAAUGUAAAUAAUCAAUUAAAAUAUAUAAAUUUUAUAACAAUUUAUUCAUAUUUAAGUAAUUUUUAAAAUAUGUAUAUAAAUUAUUUUUCAAAUAAAUAUAUUAUUAAUAUACAUAAUUCAAACUAUGAAAAAUAUAUUAUUGAAAUAUUUAAAACACCAAAUACAUUUUAAAAAUUUGAUUUAAAUAAUAUUAAAAUUAAAACAUAACAAUCCCAGAAAAUAUUUUUAUAAAUCAGUAUUUUGUUGGAGAUAAGAAAAUACACUUUCGUUUUUAAUUCUAAAUAUUUUAUAAUGUAUUGUUGUUUUUCCAUACUGUAAUAUAUAAAAAAGAUGUAUAAUCUAUUUAAGUUUUAGUAUUUUAUACUGAAUUUCAAUUUGUUAGUUCUUUACAUAUUAAUUUUAUUUUUCAAAUUUUGUAGUAUCAUAUAUUACCUUUUUAAUAUUUGAAAGACUUGUAAUAUCAAAUAAAAUAAUAUUGCAAUUAAUGUAUAUAUUAACAUAUAAAAAUGUAUAGCAUAGAUAAAAAAAAAAAAAAAAUCAAACAUGAUCGACAAUGAAAGUUUAAAUAUUGAACAAGUUGUAUGAUGUCUUCUCGGGUACACCACUCUACUUCUCUAAGUGGUGCAUUGAUUUACUAGAUAAUUUUUUUUAAGGAAUCCAUUAAAUAUAUUUUUCUCCAAUCAUGAUAUUAUUACAAAGUUGUUUUUACGUGGUGAUUGAUUUUCAAGAUGGUGAGCACAUACAAGAUAAUUUUGAGGAUCCAAAGCACCUACAAAAUAGCUGAUAAGGUUUUAAGUUAUACUACAUACAAUUUGGUUAAAUUUUCUUAUAUUGUAAAAAAAUUAUAGAUAAAAGUGGUCACAAUUAUUGUCACCCCUACUGGAGAAAGAAGAUUCUAAAUCAAUUAUUUGGAGCGUUCUACAUAGUGGCCAAAAUCAUGAUCACCAACUAUUUUUUAAAACCUAGCUACAGAGGAUAAAGUCGUUGCUUAAACAUCAUCUCGCCUAUAAAUAGACCCAAAUAAUUUGAGGUUCCAUACUUCAAAAUCCAAAUCUAGCGAUUAAUUAUAGUUUAGGCAGCAAAUUAUGGAAUCCCAUGAUGAGGAGCAUGCUGCCAAACUACUUAGAGCUCAAACCCACAUAUGGAAUCACAUAUUUAGCUUCAUAAACUCCAUGUCCCUUAAAUGUGUGGUUGACUUAGGCAUACCAGAUAUCAUACACAACUAUGGCCAACCCAUGCCACUCUCAAACCUCAUUGCUUCACUACCAAUCCACCCAUCCAAAACUUGCUUCGUCCAUUGCUUGAUGCGAAUCAUGAUCCAUUCUGGCUUCUUCUCUCAACAAAACCAU
Molecule: long non-coding RNA, 15316 nt
Filed under: Glycine max (soybean)
Lineage: Eukaryota; Viridiplantae; Streptophyta; Magnoliopsida; Fabales; Fabaceae
Description: long non-coding RNA (GMAX_LNC003279)
Source: RNAcentral